CAGAGGUCUGGAGCAGGGGCGGGACGGAUCCAGGCCUCCCUCAUGCCCACUGUUCUACCCCACCCUGUCCUGCCUGCACGUGCCCUGCAGAACUCCAUUUCCUGAGAUCUGGAAUAAAGCCUUUGGAUCUUGAGUUUUUUUGUCAGAAGGCAAAUAUCCCUGAGAAACCAGGCUGAGUCCCUCAGAGGAGGGAAGUAGGGAAAGUGCCAGAAGGGGACCGUGGAAGGGAAAGGUGGAAAAUGGGAGGAUAAAGACUCCUGCAAAUGUCUGAGGAGGAGGGAGCAGAGCCACCCUAGUCAGCUGAGGGCCUGCCCUACCUCACAUCUUCUGCACCAGCCUCCACCCAGGUGGCCCCGUAGGAGGGCAGGCCCUGCCCCAAUGCCUGCUCUCAGGCAGAGGAGGGGCUCCAGGAGCAAGGAGAGCAAGGCUGGACAGGAUCACUGUCUUGGCAGCUUUCCAGGGCGGCCUGGAAAGGGGCAUGUGGUGCGGGUCCAUUCCAUUCCCCUUCCCCCACCUCCUUGACCAUCACCCCCAGCUCCCUGGUCUCUGGUUGGGAUGAGGGAAUAGGAACCUCUGCAGGAGUUUGGAGGGAGGUCAGGUACCCUUGGCCAUUGUCUUCAUGACCUUCCAGCCACCUUAAAUCUGUUCUUCUGAGGGGCCCUUCAGAUGACCCCAGGAAACCGGGAUUGGACGUUGGCAUUGAGUCCACCCAGCUCUCCCUUUCACAGAUGGAGACGGUGAAGCACAGAGGUCUUCGAGUAUAUGCUGAUGAUGCUUAGUGGUGGUCCUCGGGAAGCGAUUCAAGCACUGGAUGUCUGGUGGACCCGUCCUGGUGACUUUGGGCUCUAUUUUCACCUUGAAAAAGUGGCAUUUGAAUUGUCUUUGUUCUCAGCAGAGAGAGCUGACACCCAUUCUUCACUUGAU
This is a long non-coding RNA of Sapajus apella (tufted capuchin), 924 nucleotides long. RefSeq lists it as uncharacterized. Lineage: Eukaryota; Metazoa; Chordata; Mammalia; Primates; Cebidae. The transcript is spliced from 3 exons. The record is from RefSeq and is a predicted model, not a curated record.